Molecule: unclassified non-coding RNA, 254 nt
Filed under: uncultured Hypocreales
Lineage: Eukaryota; Fungi; Ascomycota; Sordariomycetes; Hypocreales
Description: sequence contains ITS2
Source: RNAcentral
AACGCACAUUGCGCCCGCUAGUAUUCUGGCGGGCAUGCCUGUUCGAGCGUCAUUUCAACCCUCAAGCCCUGCUUGGUGUUGGGGACCGGCCGCUGCCUAACCGCCGCGGCCGCCCCCGAAAUACAGUGGCGGUCUCGCUGCAGCCUCCCUUGCGUAGUAGCACACCUCGCACCGGAGCGCGGCGCGGCCACGCCGUUAAACCCCAACUUCUGAAUGUUGACCUCGGAUCAGGUAGGAAUACCCGCUGAACUUAA